AGGACGAACGCUGGCGGCGUGCUUAACACAUGCAAGUCGAGCGGAAAGGCCCUUCGGGGUACUCGAGCGGCGAACGGGUGAGUAACACGUGAGGAACCUGCCCUGGACUUUGGGAUAACCCUCGGAAACGGGGGCUAAUACCGAAUACGACACGGUCUCGCAUGAGAUCCGUGUGGAAAGUUUUUUCGGUCUGGGAUGGUCUCGCGGCCUAUCAGCUUGUUGGUGGGUAAUGGCCUACCAAGGCGACGACGGGUAGCC
This 258-nucleotide ribosomal RNA is filed under the name uncultured bacterium. RNAcentral describes it as "partial small subunit ribosomal RNA". It matches the Rfam family "Bacterial small subunit ribosomal RNA", at positions 26 to 288 of the family's 1533-position model. The record is from RNAcentral.